CUCUGCCUCUUUUAUUGCUCUUUCAAAUAAUAGACUUACCUUCAGAAAAUGCUAACUCUAUCAUUUUCAACUUCCCAGUAANNNNAUUCAACAAUUCUUCAUUGUUUAUAGACUUAAAUCCCAUGUAUAAUCAGGUUGUAGAGCAUCUCUGCUUGCCUGGGAGAUGUGUGCAAGGUCAUCUCUCCUUGCUCACUAACUCUUACCCAUGACACCCAUACCUAAAAGUACAUGAACCUCUGCCUUUGCCUGCACCCUUUCCUCUAGGGAACUUUACUUCUUGCUUGAGCAAGGAGAUAAACUCCUCAUCAUUCUUCAUUAUCCUCCUCUAAUGGCUUCACCCAAGCUUCCAUGCACUCUGUUAAGCUGAGUUGCUAUUUUCCAUUUUUCUGCUUCUCUAGGUUUUAUCCCGACAAGUACUAAUACAUCUUUUCUAUCACAUAAUGUAUACUUGCUUUCAAGUCACUCUGUUUUUUUCUAUUUUGAAGAGAAAUACCAUCAGCUAUUUUAUCCCCACUGCUUGACACUGCUUGACACUGCUUGAUAUUUUUCAAUAAAUAUCUGUUGGAUAAAUCAAGAUGUGCACGUUUAUCCCAUGUGCAUAUUCUUACAUAUACAAAUUUACAUAUAUUUACACUCAUAUACCUAAACAUGACUACUCACACAA
RNAcentral lists this long non-coding RNA (664 nucleotides) under Ovis aries (sheep). RNAcentral describes it as "lncRNA (ENSOARG00000026825.1)". Lineage: Eukaryota; Metazoa; Chordata; Mammalia; Artiodactyla; Bovidae. The record is from RNAcentral.